GAUGAACGCUGGCGGCGUGCCUAAUACAUGCAAGUCGAGCGAACAGACCAGGAGCUUGCUCCUCUGACGUUAGCGGCGGACGGGUUCGUAACACGUGGAUAACCUACCUAUAAGACUGGGAUAACUUCGGGAAACCGUAGCUAAUACCGGAUAAUAUAUUGAACCGCAUUGUUCAAUAGUUAAAGUCGGUUUUGCUGUCACUUAUAGAUGGAUCCGCGCCGCAUUAGCUAGUUGGUAAGGUAACGGCUUAACAAGGCAACGAUGCGUAGCCGACCUGAGAGGGUGAUCGGCCACACUGGAACUGAGACAGGGACCAGACUCCAACAGGAGGCAACAGUAGGGAAUCUUCCGAGAUGAGGGAAAGCGUGACGGAGCAAAGCCGCGGGAGGGAUGAAGGACUACGGAUCGUAAAACUAUGUUGUUAGGGAAGAACAAAUGUGUAAGUAACUAUGCACGUAUUGACGGUACCUAAUCAGAAAGCCACGGCUAACUACGUG
RNAcentral lists this ribosomal RNA (497 nucleotides) under uncultured bacterium. Its description in RNAcentral is "partial 16S ribosomal RNA". It matches the Rfam family "Bacterial small subunit ribosomal RNA", at positions 28 to 507 of the family's 1533-position model. The record is from RNAcentral.